AUGGCUCAGAUUGAAAGGGGAGAGGCGAGAAUUCAAAGAAGAAUAAGCAUCAAGAAAGCACUUGACACAAAGAUUGGACGGUACAAAGCACCUUUUCAUCAGCUGAGAAUAUCAUAUGGUACUAACAAAGGAAAAAACUAUACUGAAGAAGAAGAUCGUUUUCUGAUUUGUAUGCUUCACAAACUUGGAUUUGACAAAGAAAAUGUUUAUGAUGAAUUGCGACAGUGUAUUCGCAACUCUCCUCAGUUCAGAUUUGACUGGUUUCUUAAGUCCAGAACUGCAAUGGUGAGUGCUCAGGACUUUUUUGUGUUCAGAGUAAGUGUCAUCUUUGGUAUUCUUUAAGGUGACCU
Molecule: small RNA, 350 nt
Filed under: Pan troglodytes (chimpanzee)
Lineage: Eukaryota; Metazoa; Chordata; Mammalia; Primates; Hominidae
Description: retained intron
Source: RNAcentral